This 69-nucleotide transfer RNA is filed under the name Mesopteryx alata. RNAcentral describes it as "tRNA-Ile". Lineage: Eukaryota; Metazoa; Arthropoda; Insecta; Mantodea; Mantidae. The record is from RNAcentral.
AGUAAAAUAAGCCUCGAUUUAAAAGGAUUAUCGUGAUAGGAUAAAUAAUGUAAUGUAUUACUUUUACUA